ACUGUCUCGCCUUACCCUCCUCCAAAAAGGGAACACUUUUCUCCUGCACUCAGUGUUUUCAUUAGGAAAAGAGGCGAACAGCAGAACAGGGGCUACACCGAGCUACCAACUACGGGCCCUAAAGUUUCUCAGCUGGGGUGGGUGGUUACUCAGAGCCAUGGCCAACCAGUCCAUCUGUGUUGCUCUCCUGGUUCUUUUGAUUGGUCACGUGUUGGCAGUGACUGAAAUUGAACAUGCAAACAGAAACACUCAAACAGCUCCCUGCCAGGACCACAGCAAGCUUAAUGACAGACUGGAUGCAGUAGAAAAGAGGGUCGAAGAGACGGUACAGAAGCUGGAGGCUGAGCUGGCCGUGCUGCUCGAUACCAUCCAGGCUCCUGAAUGGAGCUCCCUACUGAACACUGCUGGUCCUGCUGUAGACAUACUGGAUGAAAGCAAUGUCCCACCAACCUCUUGAGAUCCAAACGAGACAAAGAAAGAAAGCUCACACAAGUCAGAUUGCCUGGUAUUCGUGUACUGCUGCUCCGAACUGCACAGAACAGACGGGAUCUGAUUGGGGCGACAGAUUAAGUGCCGUGUCCUCCAGACUAUGCCACUCCAGUCUUCUUUCAAGACCAACCUAGAAUCCAAGGACGUACCCUUUGUCUCAGUACUCUUACCUCUCCUCUUGUUCGCUUUUCUUCUUUUUUUAUUUUUAUUUGAUAGAAUUUUGGAGUGACCUUGAGCAUGAAGAGGAUGUUCUCUCUUCUUUUCUUGUUAUAAUAAUAUACAGAAAAAUGUAACAAAAAAUUCCCGGUAAGACAAAGACACACACUUACUGUACAGUUUAAUAUGAUUUCUGAUGUUUGAUGUUAAUCCCUUAUGAAGAGACAAAGCCAGUGUCCUUAAACAUUUUAUUAUUAUUUUCAGUAUCAUUAAAACAAACUAUGAGAUGCCAAAAGUUAAACAGAGUCUAUUGAUACAUAUCAUGCCAUCCACGAUUAUUUGAAGACGAUACUUUGCUUUGUAGAGUCGAACAUCUCCAGCUGAUAACGCAGUCCUAACGCAAGUGUAUGGAGUUCGGAUGGCGAUACGGAUGUCACCGGUGAAUGUGUUGUCAUCAUCUCAAUGCUUAAGAGUUUGUUUUCAUUUUCAUGGUGCGUGUGUACGACAAAGCAACAUAUCUACGACCAUAUGCCUUCCCCCGAAACACCCAAGCUUUAAAAAGUCUUUGUAAAUAGGGGUACAUGCAAAAGUGUCAAAGUUUAAUCAAUAUGCUAUGGUAUCAGUAUAGUAAUCGAUAACUUACAGUGAAUUAAUGUCCACUUGAGGCUAACAGUAGAAUUUAUGUUUAAUUCCAGAAACAUUCCAUGUUUUUUUUUUUUUUUUUUUUUUUAC
This is a long non-coding RNA of Clarias gariepinus (North African catfish), 1377 nucleotides long. RefSeq lists it as uncharacterized. The transcript has 5 exons. NCBI's taxonomy places the organism in Eukaryota, Metazoa, Chordata, Actinopteri, Siluriformes, Clariidae. The record is from RefSeq and is a predicted model, not a curated record.